Molecule: transfer RNA, 75 nt
Filed under: Kroppenstedtia eburnea
Lineage: Bacteria; Bacillati; Bacillota; Bacilli; Caryophanales; Thermoactinomycetaceae
Also listed under: 2 other names
Description: tRNA-Gly
Rfam family: tRNA
About the family: Transfer RNA (tRNA) molecules are approximately 80 nucleotides in length.
Source: RNAcentral
GCGGAAGUAGCUCAGCGGUAGAGCACCACCUUCCCAAGGUGGGGGUCGCGGGUUCGAGUCCAGCCUUCCGCUCCA